Molecule: ribosomal RNA, 253 nt
Filed under: uncultured bacterium
Lineage: Bacteria
Description: partial 16S ribosomal RNA
Rfam family: Bacterial small subunit ribosomal RNA
Source: RNAcentral
UACAGAGGGGGCAAGCGUUGUUCGGAAUUACUGGGCGUAAAGGGCGCGUAGGCGGCCUGUUAAGUCGAACGUGAAAUCCCCGGGCUCAACCCGGGAACUGCGUCCGAUACUGGCAGGCUUGAAUCCGGGAGAGGGAUGUGGAAUUCCCGGAGUAGCGGUAAAAUGCGUAGAUCUCGGGAGGAACACCGAUGGCGAAGGCAGCUUCUUGGCUCAUUCCUGACGUUGAUGCACGAAAGCGUGGGGAGCAAACAGG